This 465-nucleotide ribosomal RNA is filed under the name uncultured Syntrophus sp. RNAcentral's name for it is "bacterial SSU rRNA". It matches the Rfam family "Bacterial small subunit ribosomal RNA", at positions 338 to 795 of the family's 1533-position model. Lineage: Bacteria; Pseudomonadati; Thermodesulfobacteriota; Syntrophia; Syntrophales; Syntrophaceae. The record is from RNAcentral.
CCUACGGGAGGCUGCAGUGAGGAAUCUUGCGCAAUGGGGGAAACCCUGACGCAGCAACGCCGCGUGAGUGAGGAAGGUCUUCGGAUCGUAAAGCUCUGUCGGGUGGAAAGAAAUGUAUGGGGUUAAUAGCCUUCAUACUUGACGGUACCACCAAAGGAAGCACCGGCUAACUCCGUGCCAGCAGCCGCGGUAAUACGGGGGGUGCAAGCGUUGUUCGGAAUUAUUGGGCGUAAAGAGCGUGUAGGCGGCUUGUCAAGUCAGAUGUGAAAGCCCUGGGCUUAACCCAGGAAGUGCAUUUGAAACUGCCAGGCUUGAGUAGGGGAGAGGGAAGUGGAAUUCCUGGUGUAGAGGUGAAAUUCGUAGAUAUCAGGAGGAACACCGGUGGCGAAGGCGACUUCCUGGCCCUAUACUGACGCUGAGACGCGAGAGCGUGGGUAGCAAACAGGAUUAGAUACCCCGGUAGUC